UACGUAGGGGGCAAGCGUUGUCCGGAAUCAUUGGGCGUAAAGAGCGUGUAGGCGGCCCGGUAAGUCCGCUGUGAAAGUCCAGGGCUCAACCCUGGGGAUGCCGGUGGAUACUGUCGGGCUCGAGUCCGGAAGAGGAGUGUGGAAUUCCUGGUGUAGCGGCGAAAUGCGCAGAUAUCAGGAGGAACACCAAUGGCGAAGGCAGCACUCUGGGGACGUGACUGACGCUGAGACGCGAAAGCGUGGGGAGCAACAGG
RNAcentral lists this ribosomal RNA (254 nucleotides) under uncultured bacterium. RNAcentral's name for it is "partial 16S ribosomal RNA". It matches the Rfam family "Bacterial small subunit ribosomal RNA", at positions 524 to 775 of the family's 1533-position model. The record is from RNAcentral.